Molecule: long non-coding RNA, 295 nt
Organism: Sinocyclocheilus anshuiensis
Lineage: Eukaryota; Metazoa; Chordata; Actinopteri; Cypriniformes; Cyprinidae
Exons: 3
Source: RefSeq, a predicted model, not a curated record
CAGCACAGGAUCGUCUGCACAUCGCUGUAUAUGUUUAAGACGCAAGAGGACCUACUGCAUCAUGUUGAGAAAGAAGAAUGGAGCCGGGACGUCCCAAUUUAAACCAGACGAUCCCCUGAUAAAAAUGGGGGUCCAGGAUGAUGAUGAUGUGGAAACAAUGCUGCAGGGGUCCUCUAUGACGAAGGUACGUUCUCCACGCUGGAAGAGGAAGCGCAUGCUAAAGCUGAUGAAUGACGGAGUCACUGUCUGGUGUGAAUCCAACAAGGCCACCAACAAAGCCAAAAGUCAGCAGUCC